This 627-nucleotide ribosomal RNA is filed under the name Triticum aestivum (bread wheat). RNAcentral describes it as "partial small subunit ribosomal RNA". Lineage: Eukaryota; Viridiplantae; Streptophyta; Magnoliopsida; Poales; Poaceae. The record is from RNAcentral.
AUGGGUUUCAUGAAUCACCAUAUCCAGAGAUUCGUCGACACAGCUGGUUGUGAGAUAAUCUUCAGUUACCAUAUAACUGGAAUUAACCCAUGCAAGUCGAAGAAGGAUUGGCCGGUGCUACCGGCUGGCGUCAAGUUCGAUCCCACGGAUCAGGAGCUGAUCGAGCACCUUGAGGCCAAAGUGAGUGCUGACAGCGCGAGAUCUCACCCUCUCAUCGAUUUGUUCAUACCAACCAUCGACAGCGAGCACGGCAUAUGCUACACCCAUCCUGAGAAAUUUCCAGGUAUCACACUGAGUGGCCUAAGCAAGCAUUUCUUCCAGUGCAACUCCAGGGCGUUCAAAAGGGGCACGUGGACGCGUCGCAAGAUACAGUCGGAGUGCAGCAUGCACGCGAUGUGGCACAACACCGGCAAUACCUUGCCGGUGAUGGUCAACGGCCGGCAGACAGGCAGCAAAAAGGUUCUGGUGCUGCACACCAACAAGAACUUCGACCGACAGAGGACCAACUGGGUGAUGCACCAGUACCACCUCGGAGACCUGGAGCAAGAUGAGGAGCGGGAGCUGGUCCUCUGCAAGAUUUUCUACCAGACGAACACUAGGGCCAGGAGUAAAAAGAUUAUAAGUUAG